CAGUCGCCGCGGUAACACGUAGGUGGCAAGCGUUGUCCGGAAUUAUUGGGCGUAAAGGGCUCGCAGGCGGUUUCUUAAGUCUGAUGUGAAAGCCCCCGGCUCAACCAGGGAGGGUCAUUGGAAACUGGGAAACUUGAGUGCAGAAGAGGAGAGUGGAAUUCCACGUGUAGCGGUGAAAUGCGUAGAGAUGAGGAGGAACACCAGUGGCGAAGGCGACUCUCUGGUCUGUAACUGACGCUGAGGAGCGAAAGCGUGGGGAGCGAACAGGAUUAGAUACCCCAGUAGUCCCUGUCUCUUAUAC
RNAcentral lists this ribosomal RNA (301 nucleotides) under uncultured bacterium. RNAcentral describes it as "partial 16S ribosomal RNA". It matches the Rfam family "Bacterial small subunit ribosomal RNA", at positions 509 to 807 of the family's 1533-position model. The record is from RNAcentral.